UAUUCAUUUGGGUACUGUUACCAUAGAUUUGGGUACUGUAAAAAUAGUACUGAAUUUAAUACUGAUGCACCCCCUACCAUGAAUGUCACUCGGCAUAAAUAUCAGUAUGGAAUCAUCAGGGUGAAAUGUACCACCCAAAUUGGCAAAAGAAUCCUAAUGCCAAUCCCAAUCCUAUAUACAAAUAAUCUCUAUAUUUUAAAUAAGCACCAGCAGAUCAAAACUUCCACAAUUUUGAAAGAAACAAUUAUGGAUCACGUACUGAGCUUUGCAAUCAUCUCCUCCAACAUCCUAAGCGUUGUUGUUCCCAUGACUCUUUCUCCUUCUGCAUCAAUUUCUUGCAUGAUCUGCUCUAUAAGUUCAUGCUUCGAUUGUUUACUUCUCGAACCAUAACAUGAACAAUCCCUCAGGAGCAGCAACAGUUCUUGAGCUGUAUCCUUAGCCCUCCAUGUUCCAUCUACGCUUAACUGAAGCAAUCCUGGCAUUACACCUUCCCUUAAAAUCAGUACUCUGUAUUUUUCUCUGCAGCUCUGGCAUAUCAACAGCAGAAUUACCACUGCUUGCUCUUUACAUUGCGGAGAACCCUCUUCAAUCGUCUCAACCAAAGCUCGAAUUGCCCCACUUGUACUGGCAGUCUGCAGAAGUGCAUUCUCUGAUAUAGUCACUAUAUUUUCUAGCAGUGCCAUUGCUUUCUCAACAAAUUUUGAUGAUUUUUCAUAGCUGUGAAUUAUUUGAAGCAGGGUAAAAACUACCCUAGAAGCAACAAUUGAUGGAAUAGUCUGAUGACAAGUUGAGAGAUUGUGGAGUGUCGCUAUAGCAUCAAGCUUGGCUUGGAUGCUAAUGGUGUUUGUGGUAUCAUCAUCAUCAUUAUUUGCAAAGUCUCCAUUGAGGAUUCCAACAAGGAUCGGAAUAGCACCAGAAGAUGUGACUGCUAAUUUGUUCGCUGUACAAGAAGAGACGAUCAAGAGAGCAGCUAUUAUGAGCUCAGUCAGCGUCCCAUUAUGGCAUUGGAGGAGCUCUAACAGCACAGGUACAAGCCCAGAUUUCACUAUCCGAAUCUUGUUUCUUUCACUUCCAAAGGCAAGGCUAAGUAAAGCAAAAAGAGCAGCUUCAAUGGCUUCAUAAUCCUGACACUGAAGCAUUGAAAUCAAAGGAGAAAUAAUCCCUCUUUCAGCCAAUUUGUGCCUUUGCUUACUAGUGAGUUUACCAAGUUGAGCAGCAGCCUGAAUCUGUGCUUCUCUCUCACCAUUGAAGAGAUUCUGCACCACAAACUCUUCCAUGACUAGUUAGCAAUCUGCAAUCCCUCCUCCUGCUGCUGCUGCCAACAAUAAAAUAUCAUAUAGUUAGGCAACAGUGAAGAUAGG
Molecule: unclassified non-coding RNA, 1361 nt
Filed under: Hevea brasiliensis (rubber tree)
Lineage: Eukaryota; Viridiplantae; Streptophyta; Magnoliopsida; Malpighiales; Euphorbiaceae
Source: RNAcentral